CCCAGACCUCGCGAGCGGGGCUGAAGGGGCUCUUCGCAGAAAGAUGCCUUGAAGUAGAGGAUAAAUGAGACACGAUCAGGACUGGGAGAAGGUCGCUCUAUGGAGAUGGCCUUAACGUGAAGGUACAGCUUGUACUGAAAGUCUACCAACUGACAUUACAGCUCUUCUUGGGUCCCAUGGAAGGCAGUGAGACAGCAAGAGCAGGAGGUAUUUCUGGGUGUCUGUGCUGAAAACGUCUUGUCUGAGGAAGAAGGAAUGAAUUGAAAUGGGGGUGUGAGCCUGGGGGGUAGUGUUUGUAAUGACUGCUGUGUUUCCUGCCCUGACAUGUUAAGCAAUUGUAAGAGUUUCACUGUUUCCAUUACACAUGCAUU
Molecule: long non-coding RNA, 371 nt
Organism: Indicator indicator
Lineage: Eukaryota; Metazoa; Chordata; Aves; Piciformes; Indicatoridae
Exons: 5
Source: RefSeq, a predicted model, not a curated record